UACGUAGGGUGCAAGCGUUAAUCGGAAUUACUGGGCGUAAAGCGUGCGUAGGCGGUUCGUUAAGUUCGUUGUGAAAGCCCCGGGCUCAACCUGGGAACUGCAUUUGUGACUGCAUCGCUGGAGUGCGGCAGAGGGGGAUGGAAUUCCGCGUGUAGCAGUGAGAUGCGUAGAUAUGCGGAGGAACACCGAUGGCGAAGGCAAUCCCCUGGGCCUGCACUGACGCUCAUGCACGAAAGCGUGGGGAGCAAACAGG
RNAcentral lists this ribosomal RNA (253 nucleotides) under uncultured bacterium. RNAcentral describes it as "partial 16S ribosomal RNA". It matches the Rfam family "Bacterial small subunit ribosomal RNA", at positions 524 to 776 of the family's 1533-position model. The record is from RNAcentral.